RNAcentral lists this ribosomal RNA (497 nucleotides) under uncultured bacterium. RNAcentral describes it as "partial 16S ribosomal RNA". It matches the Rfam family "Bacterial small subunit ribosomal RNA", at positions 28 to 507 of the family's 1533-position model. The record is from RNAcentral.
GAUGAACGCUGGCGGCGUGCCUAAUACAUGCAAGUCGAGCGAACGGACGAGAAGCUUGCUUCUCUGAUGUUAGCGGCUGACGGGUGAGUAACACGUGUAUAACCUACCUAUAAGACUGGGAUAACUUCGGGAAACCGGAGCUAAUACCGGAUAAUAUUUUGAACCGCAUGGUUCAAAAGUAAAAGACGGUCUUGCUGUCACUUAUAGAUGGAUCCGCGCUGCAUUAGCUAGUUGGUAAGGUAACGGCUUACCAAGGCAACGAUGCAUAGCCGACCUGAGAGGGGGAUCGGCAACACUGGAAGUGAGACACGGACAAGACUACUACGGGAGGCAGCAGUAGGGAAUGUUCCGAAAUGGGCGAAAGCAUGACGGAGCAACGCCGCGUGAGUGAUGAAGGUCUUCGGAUCGUAAAACUCUGUUAUUAGGGAAGAAAAUAUGUGUAAGUAAAUGUGCACAUCUUGACGGUACCUAAUCAGAAAGCAACGGCUAACUACGUG